GGAUUUGCUAGCUGGGCCCUGGCUCCCAGAAGCAGUGGUUUGGGAAGAGAAAAGAAGGCAUUCCUGGGUGGCCACGUGGUCACCCUGGGAGUGGAGCUGCAGGCAUGUGGCCCCCAGCUACUAAAGGCAAAGUUACCAGUGGAAUUCGGAGAUACAUCCAAUCUUGGGCACAAACCCCAUGACUUCAGGGCUGGUCAGUUACCCCCUGGGGUUUUGCCUCUGGGCCCCAGGAAAAUGUCUCCGAGGAAC
Molecule: long non-coding RNA, 249 nt
Organism: Herpailurus yagouaroundi (jaguarundi)
Lineage: Eukaryota; Metazoa; Chordata; Mammalia; Carnivora; Felidae
Exons: 2
Source: RefSeq, a predicted model, not a curated record